Pantherophis guttatus is the source of this 1494-nucleotide long non-coding RNA. RefSeq lists it as uncharacterized. The record is from RefSeq and is a predicted model, not a curated record. NCBI's taxonomy places the organism in Eukaryota, Metazoa, Chordata, Lepidosauria, Squamata, Colubridae.
AACCAACCUCAUUUGUUUUACAUUGAAGCAGAAAAAAGUGCACCACUCUUCUGAUUCCACUUUCAAAUGCAACCAGAGAGGUCUGUCUAGCUUCCCAGAGUGCAGACAACACAUCGAAUAGCGUGUACCUGGAUGAUGUGGCCAGAGCAAUAAGCAGUGCUUGAAGAAUGCCUCUGAUAAAGACAACGGGGUUCUUCUUGGUGAUGAAGAAAUACAUCAUUGGCAGAAUAACAAGUCCGUGAAAGAAUAGUCCACAAAGAAUUAGGACUGUUCCUUAGAUACUAAAGGAAACCAACCCUGAUUGUUCUUUGAAGGACAGAUACUGAAGCUGAAGCUCAAAUACUUUGGUUGCCAAAUGAGAGGAGAGGAUCCAUUGGAAAAGACCUUGAUGUUGGAAAGAUUGAAGGCUAAAGGAGAAGGGGAUGGCAGAGGAUGAGAUAGUUAGAUAGUGUCAUCAACAUAAUGAACAUGAAUUUGGGCAAAAUCUGGGAGACAGUAGAGGACAGGGGAGCCUGGCAUGCUGUGGUCCGUGGGAUGGCAAAGAUUUAAUGACUGAACAACAACCUUUUAAUAGAAGCGACUGGGACUCUUCCAAUAUAUUUUAAAUAGACUGGUUUUCCAUGGUAAAUCAUUUUUCAAAAUUAACUUUGUUGAAAUGACCAAAAGAUAAGAUAAAGUGCUAUUUCACUAGAACAGGUGUUUAGGGUCAUAUCAAUUCUAGUAGUGUACAGGCCCUGACAGACAAUCUUGAUAUGUCACUAAACAAAUUAGUCUGUGCAUGGUGGCAAUAGUUGUUCUUUCCAUCGUGUUCUUGUAAAAACUUCAAACUACUGAUUUUGAAAUACUAGAUUUCAAAAAACAAUUUCUGCCCAUUUUGAAGCUACACUAUUGAACAUGAAAUUUGUGCUUCUGCAGUUCUCAUUAGUGUUGUAUGAUGCUUUUAUUGGUUAAUUGGAGGUGGGACCUUGGUGCUGAAGUCUUUCAAACUCUCCCAGCAGAUUUUAGAUGAUUAUUUAUAAUUAUUUUCAAAUGGAGACACUAAUCUCGAAGAUUACAGUGAUGAUACUUUUUUUUUUUAAACGGGACUAUUUGGGCAGCACAGAGAUCCAUGCCUGUAUAUUCAGAUUCUUCUGGAAGAUAUGCUGUUAUCCAUCUCAUAGUGAUGCCCUUAUAUUUCUUCAUCUCUUUCAUAUUCUCUCAUAAUCAAAUGGAACAAAUAAGCUGCUAAGACAAUAUCAGUAUUUAAUUCUGUAAAGCUAUUAACUGAAUACUGCUGAUCUUAGUUCUGCCGUAGCUUGUCUAUGGCAGCUAGGAAGAAUGUUUUAUUGCCAGUAAGGUCCCAUUAUGUUUCAAAGAGAUGGCAUGAUUUUCUUUCUUUUCCAUUUGCUGAGCUGAUGUAUUUCGUCUUGCUUGCCUUCAAGCUUUUUUGUGCAGCGGCCUUAAACUGCUUGCCUCCUGAGCAGAAAUGACUGGGAAUAAAGCUGGUUUAAGACA